RNAcentral lists this ribosomal RNA (505 nucleotides) under uncultured bacterium. RNAcentral describes it as "bacterial SSU rRNA". It matches the Rfam family "Bacterial small subunit ribosomal RNA", at positions 8 to 526 of the family's 1533-position model. The record is from RNAcentral.
AGAGUUUGAUCCUGGCUCAGGAUGAACGCUGGCGGCGUGCUUAACACAUGCAAGACGAACGAUGAUCCGGUGCUUGCACCGGGGAUUAGUGGCGAACGGGUGAGUAACACGUGAGUAACCUGCCCUUGACUCUGGGAUAAGCCUGGGAAACUGGGUCUAAUACCGGAUAUGACUCCUCAUCGCAUGGUGGGGGGUGGAAAGCUUUUGUGGUUUUGGAUGGACUCGCGGCCUAUCAGCUUGUUGGUGAGGUAAUGGCUCACCAAGGCGACGACGGGUAGCCGGCCUGAGAGGGUGGCCGGCCACACUGGGACUGAGACACGGCCCAGACUCCUACGGGAGGCAGCAGUGGGGAAUAUUGCACAAUGGGCGCAAGCCUGAUGCAGCGACGCCGCGUGAGGGAUGACGGCCUUCGGGUUGUAAACCUCUUUCAGUAGGGAAGAAGCGAAAGUGACGGUACCUGCAGAAGAAGCGCCGGCUAACUACGUGCCAGCCGCCGCGGUAAUAC